UUUAAGAAAAGAAUGAAGAAGCCUCAUUAGAGAAAAGUUAAAAGUAUUCCUGGAUUCCUCUGGGCUGCAGAAAGAGUAAGCAGGAAAUUGGAGGAGAGCACAUCAACCACACCAAAGGAGUUUCUGAAGGAUGACUGUUGCCUUAAUGAUUGGAGCAGUGGCUGCCAAUUCGCUAAUGGUUGGAACAUGUAAUUAGAACUUGAGAACUUAGCUCUGGUCAUGACUGUACCACUUACCACGGCCUUGAACACAUCCACUCUUUUGGGAGAAAGGCACUGUGCUCUGUGCUUAGGAGCUUGAGAUGUAGAGCCAGACUGCCUGGGUUCAAAUCCCACUUCUGCCACUGACUAGCUACAUGUUUUGGG
RNAcentral lists this long non-coding RNA (365 nucleotides) under Mustela putorius furo (domestic ferret). Its description in RNAcentral is "lncRNA (ENSMPUG00000030151.1)". Lineage: Eukaryota; Metazoa; Chordata; Mammalia; Carnivora; Mustelidae. The record is from RNAcentral.